Long non-coding RNA from Bactrocera dorsalis (oriental fruit fly), 410 nucleotides. RefSeq lists it as uncharacterized. The transcript is spliced from 3 exons. Lineage: Eukaryota; Metazoa; Arthropoda; Insecta; Diptera; Tephritidae. The record is from RefSeq and is a predicted model, not a curated record.
GUUUGCUUAGUUAGUAAUGGCAGACCUAUUUUUCGGGCCACAAUGAGCUUGAAAGACAGGGAUGAGAGAAGACAGCGUGACAAAUUAGCACCUAUAAGAAACAUUUGGGAUCAAUGCAAUCGACAGCUCAGCUUCAGGCAGUACAUUCCAUCGAAGCCCGCAAAAUACGGCUUAAAAAUAUGGGCUCUUUGUGAUUCAAAAAGCAAGUAUGCAUGGAACAUGGAAGUUUUUUUUGAACGGGCAAGAAAUACGCAACCGGAAUGGAACCAAGGUGAACGUGUUGUUCUAUCCCUAUCAGAACCCCUUCCCAGAGGUCACACUAUUACUUGCGAUAAAUCUCGCCGUUCAGCUACUUCGCAGGAAAUUUACUUUACUCGGUACAGUGAGGAAAAAUAAGCUUUUUUUGCCAC